CAGUCGCCGCGGUAAUACGAAGGGUGCAAGCGUUAAUCGGAAUUACUGGGCGUAAAGCGUGCGUAGGUGGUGGUUUAAGUCCGUUGUGAAAGCCCUGGGCUCAACCUGGGAAUUGCAGUGGAUACUGGGUCACUAGAGUGUGGUAGAGGAUAGUGGAAUUUCCGGUGUAGCAGUGAAAUGCGUAGAGAUCGGGAGGAACAUCAGUGGCGAAGGCGGCCAUCUGGGACAACACUGACGCUGAGGCACGAAAGCGUGGGGAGCAAACAGGAUUAGAGACCCCCGUAGUCCCUGUCUCUUAUAC
Molecule: ribosomal RNA, 301 nt
Filed under: uncultured bacterium
Lineage: Bacteria
Description: partial 16S ribosomal RNA
Rfam family: Bacterial small subunit ribosomal RNA
Source: RNAcentral